This 231-nucleotide ribosomal RNA is filed under the name uncultured Alicycliphilus sp. RNAcentral describes it as "partial 16S ribosomal RNA". It matches the Rfam family "Bacterial small subunit ribosomal RNA", at positions 548 to 774 of the family's 1533-position model. Lineage: Bacteria; Pseudomonadati; Pseudomonadota; Betaproteobacteria; Burkholderiales; Comamonadaceae. The record is from RNAcentral.
AGAGAUGCACUGGGUUUAAAGCGUGCGCAGGUCGGUUUUGUAAGACAGAGGUGAAAUCCCCGGGCUCAACCUGGGAACUGCCUUUGUGACUGCAAGGCCGGAGUGCGGCAGAGGGGGAUGGAAUUCCGCGUGUAGCAGUGAAAUGCGUAGAUAUGCGGAGGAACACCGAUGGCGAAGGCAAUCCCCUGGGCCUGCACUGACGCUCAUGCACGAAAGCGUGGGGAGCAAACA